AUCUGCAAAUCCAGGUUGCUUCUCCAUGAUCAUCCUGACUCCUUCUCCCAUGUCUCCCUCAGCCUCCUUCUCAUCCUGGGCAUAUUAUAUUAUCCAGGGAAGGAAAGGAAGAUGAAGUCACAUGUUAAAAGGG
Lontra canadensis (Northern American river otter) is the source of this 133-nucleotide long non-coding RNA. RefSeq lists it as uncharacterized. The transcript has 2 exons. Lineage: Eukaryota; Metazoa; Chordata; Mammalia; Carnivora; Mustelidae. The record is from RefSeq and is a predicted model, not a curated record.